Molecule: ribosomal RNA, 450 nt
Filed under: uncultured bacterium
Lineage: Bacteria
Description: bacterial SSU rRNA
Rfam family: Bacterial small subunit ribosomal RNA
Source: RNAcentral
GUGGGGAAUUUUGGACAAUGGGCGAAAGCCUGAUCCAGCCAUGCCGCGUGCAGGAUGAAGGCCUUCGGGUUGUAAACUGCUUUUGUACGGAACGAAAAGACUCCUUCUAAUAAAGGGGGUCCAUGACGGUACCGUAAGAAUAAGCACCGGCUAACUACGUGCCAGCAGCCGCGGUAAUACGUAGGGUGCAAGCGUUAAUCGGAAUUACUGGGCGUAAAGCGUGCGCAGGCGGUUAUAUAAGACAGAUGUGAAAUCCCCGGGCUCAACCUGGGAACUGCAUUUGUGACGGGAUAGCUAGAGUACGGUAGAGGGGGAUGGAAUUCCGCGUGUAGCAGUGAAAUGCGUAGAUAUGCGGAGGAACACCGAUGGCGAAGGCAAUCCCCUGGACCUGUACUGACGCUCAUGCACGAAAGCGUGGGGAGCAAACAGGAUUAGAUACCCUAGUAGUCC